This 11888-nucleotide long non-coding RNA is filed under the name Lupinus angustifolius (narrow-leaved blue lupine). Its description in RNAcentral is "long non-coding RNA (LANG_LNC000648)". The record is from RNAcentral. Lineage: Eukaryota; Viridiplantae; Streptophyta; Magnoliopsida; Fabales; Fabaceae.
CCAGGUACAUUUGAUGUGCCCUGCAUAAUAGGUAAUAGCAAAUUUGAGAAUGCCAUGCUAUAUCUAGGUGCUUCUAUUAAUAUUAUGCAUAUGUUUGUUUUCAUGUCUCUUUCACUUGGACCUACGCAACCCACUGAGGUAGUGAUUCAAUUAGCAAAUAGGAGUACUGCUUACCCUACUGGUUUGAUAGAGGAUGUCUUGGUUCGGGUUGGUGAACUUAUUUUUCCUGCUGAUUUUUAUAUUCUCGAUAUGAAAGAGAGAUCCUCCCGUAACACAGUUCCUAUCAUUUUGGGGAGGCCAUUUUUUAGAACAUCCCGAACCAAGAUAGAUGUCCAUGUUGGAACAUUAUCUAUGGAGUUUGGUGAUAUUGUGGUCCGGUUUAAUAUUUUUCAAGCUAUGAAGCAUCCAUCUGAGGACCAUUAUGUGUUUCAUAUUGAUUUACUUGAUGAAUUAACUAAUGAUCAUAUCUAUGAUUUUCUUAAUGAUUUUGAUUCUAUGUCAUUGAUAGACUCAUCCACUUAUCAUACAUGCACUGAUUCUGAAAUGUGUAAUUCUUGUAUUGAUGAGUUUCUGCAUAUUUAUGUUGAUCCAAAUGUGGUAGAAUCAUAUUGCACUAACCCAAUUGUUGCAGAUAUCAUACAGCAAUCUGAUUUACUUGUCCAUGUACAAGCUGCAUAAUCUAUAUCUGCUACUUUGGUUCCAUCUGUUUUGCAGGCACCUGUAUUGGAGCUUAAACCUUUGCCUGAAAACCUCAAGUAUGCUUACUUAGAGGAUGAUNNNNNNNNNNNNNNNNNNNNNNNNNNNNNNNNNNNNNNNNNNNNNNNNNNNNNNNNNNNNNNNNNNNNNNNNNNNNNNNNNNNNNNNNNNNNNNNNNNNNGAGCAUUUUCAGUGACUUUUUAGAGAAUUGCAUAGAGGUGUUUAUGGAUGAUUUUACAGUUUAUGGAUCUUCAUUUGAUGCAUGUUUGUAUAGUAUGGAUAGAGUUCUUCAUAAAUGCAUCGAAACUAACCUUGUUCUAAAUUACGAAAAAUGUCAUUUCAUGGUAGAGCAAGGCAUAGUUUUGGGGCAUGUGAUCUCAAAUAGGGGAAUCGGGGUAGACCCUGCCAAGAUAGAUGUUAUUUCACAAUUGCCUUACCCCUCUUGUGUGCGAGAGGUUCGUUCUUUUCUUGGUCAUGCAGGUUUCUAUCGCAGGUUCAUUAAAGAUUUUAGCAAGAAAGCUCUUCCAGUAUCCAACCUAUUGCAAAAGGAUGUGGUAUUUGAUUUUGAUGAGAGAUGUAUGGAGGCAUUUGAUUGCCUCGAGACAGCCUUGACCACCACCCCUAUUAUCCAUGCACCUGAUAUGACAGUCCCUUUUGAGCUGAUGUGUGAUGCUUCUAAUUAUGCAUUGGUGGUUGUCCUUGCUCAGAAAGUGGACAAACUGCCUAGGGUAAUUUAUUAUGCUUCUAGGACUUUAGAUGAUGCACUAGCAAAUUACACCAGAACUGAAAAAGAGCUUUUAGCUUUUGUAUUUGCUCUGGAUAAGUUUAGGUCUUAUUUGCUUGGUUCUAGAAUUGUUGUUUUCACUGACCAUGCAGCUUUGAAGUUCCUAUUGAAGAAAGUUGAUUCUAAACCAAGGUUGAUUAGAUGGAUGCUCUUGCUCCAAGAGUUUGAUUUGGAGAUCCGUGAUAGGAGUAGAGCACAAAAUUUGGUGGCUGACCACUUGAGCAGGAUUGANNNNNNNNNNNNNNNNNNNNNNNNNNNNNNNNNNNNNNNNNNNNNNNNNNNNNNNNNNNNNNNNNNNNNNNNNNNNNNNNNNNNNNNNNNNNNNNNNNNNUUCUUUUGGCUUUUACUAUAUUCUACUUUAUGUUGAUUAUGUUUCUAAAUGGGUGGAAGCUAAGGCCACCAGGACUAAUGAUGCUCGGGUUGUUAUGGAUUUUGUUAGGUCUCACAUUUUUUGCAGGUUUGGCAUACUCAUAGCCAUCGUUAGUGACCAAGGCACCCACUUUUGAAAUAGAUCCAUGCAAACUAUGCUCAAGAAAUAUGGGGUUGUUCAUAGAGUUUUCACACCUUAUCACCCCCAAUGUAAUGGGCAAGCUGAGAUUUCAAACAGAGAGAUAAAGCGGAUUUUGGAGAAGAUGGUACAGCCUAACAAAAAGGAUUGGAGCAACAGACUUGAGGAUGUUCUUUGGGCACAUAGGACUGCUUACAAGGCACCCAUAGGGAUGUUCCCUUACGGGUUGUUUUUGGUAAAGCAUGUCAUAUUCCUGUAGAGAUAGAACAUCGUGCAUACUGGGCUGUGAAAACUUAUAACUUGGCUCUCGAUCAAGCUGGUGAAGAAAGAAAGCUCCAAUUGAAUGAACUCAAUGAGAUCCGCUUAGAAGUCUAUGAAAACUCUACGUUCUAUAAAGAGAAGACCAAAAGAUUCCAUGAUAACUUGAUUUCUAGNNNNNNNNNNNNNNNNNNNNNNNNNNNNNNNNNNNNNNNNNNNNNNNNNNNNNNNNNNNNNNNNNNNNNNNNNNNNNNNNNNNNNNNNNNNNNNNNNNNNAGGUUUCUAGUUUUUGUGAUCUUCUUGCAUGACUCACUUUGGUGCAAAUUGGUUAGCAUAACAUUAUUUCUUGAUUUUGCCCAGGAGUGCAAAAGGUUAAGUGUGGGGGUAUUUGAUGAGCAAUAUAUUACACACUAUCCAUAACCUUAAAUUAGAAUGAUUGAUGAUUCUUGGUGCCUAAUUGACUUUGUUUCACAUGGUUUAGUGUUUUAGACUUUAUUGGACUAAUAUUCCUAAAAUGAGUUAAUUUGAGAUUAUUGUUUAGGCCCAACUCGGUUUAUGUGUGUUGGAGGGGUGAAAUUCGGAUUCCCCACUCCAAACACACCCAAUUCACUUCACUUUGCCUCAUUUUGAAACACAAAGACAUUUUCGUUUUCCCUCUUUUUGCUCUGCUAGGGUUUCACCCCUUCUUGAUUUAUCAUUUUCGGUUUGUUCUUCCAUUGCCAUGGAAGGCUAAAUUUCUGAACUAAGUUCCUUUGGUAAUGUAUCACAACUCUUGAGGUUUUGUUAUUAAUGCAUUUUCGGUUUCUUUAUUGUUGAUUUCUUCUAUCUUAUUUCUGAAUAUGGUUUGAUUAAUGUCAUUGUUUAGAAACUGGUUUGUUGAGUUUAUCUUCACUUAGUUGAUUUACUCUCUCUAGUGCAUGAAUGCUUAGUUCGUGUGAAUUUGUUAAUCGUUUCAUGCUUAUACUGAUUUCACCUAGUUUGAGGUUUAGGUUCUGGAACUUUGAAUUGAUUAUCGUUUAGUUAAUUGAUUCUCAACAAAUUCGGAAGUCAAUGGAUUGAAUCUGAAAAUAAUCUUUUGAAAUUGAGGAUUGAGUUGUGAAGAAACGAACCAAGCCGUUUUAUUACAUUGCUUAACUACUGUUUCUGAAUUUGAUUUAUGUUCAUACUAUCCAACAACAAAAAACCCCUUGUGUGUGUGAGUAUAAGGUGUUUGAAGCUUUGCUUGAAAGAUAAUCCUUGGGAAGCGACCUAGGAGUCACUUCCUAGUACUGCAGUUUUAAUUGUUAUAUUAUUUGUAUCGGGUACGGCCUCGAUCAAAUUUGGCCCAGUAACAACUAUUGCUGGAAUUCCCGACAUCAAAAUAAAGCAUCCAGCCACUAAAUUUCAUGAAUCCAUGGAUUAAUAAUGUUUGAAUGAUGUGUUCCUUUAAUUUUUCAAACUUGGAAAAUAAUAUUUUUUUUUUUUUUUGAAGGAGAUUUCAUUAAUUUUUGUCUUUUUAGUGAUGCCAAAUUUAGGGAUGACAAAAAUAUUUGUUCAGUGGGUACUUCCUACAUUACUCGUAAAGGGUAUCUAUAAAAUAUUUUAUGGAUGAGAACAUGUAUUAUAAUAUUUGUUGUGCAGGUACUUGCAUAUUUAUAAAUAUAUUUUUAGUUAAAUAUUAUAUAUAUAUUAAAUAUUUUUUAUAAGUAUUAUCUAUUUUAUUAUUAUUUUAUAAUGAAUUUCAGUGAUUAAAAUGUAAUAAUAUAUUUUACGUGUCAUAAAAUUUAUUAUUCAUGUAAUAAUUAUUUUACAUAUUGAUUAUUACACAAUAUAUAAAUAUAUAUUUAAACUUAUAAAUUUAUUGGAGACCCACUUAUAUUUGUUACUUGCAUGAGGACUCAUUAAUAAUACGAGCAUGAGUAUAGGAAAGUAUCAUUCAUACUCGUUCCACCCGUUGCCAUUCCUAUACAACUCUUUAUUAUCUUGUCUAAAUGCACUAAUUUUGUAAACCAAGUUUUAGAAAACAUUAAUAUAUGCAUCGAGAACAUUUAAAGUUGAAAGAAAAGGAUAUAUACAAUGACAAUAUAUGAGUUUUAUAUACUGUUAUUACAUUAUACACCAUUGAUACUUAAUUAUCGUUACUUUUUAAAAAAGUAAUUCAAAUGAAUGGUGGAUGAUGAAACGCAUGUAUAUAAAUUUUUACAUUAUCCGUGCAUAGAUUUUACACUCUUGAAUAUAAUUAUCUGAUAAUAAUGUAAUCAUUGUUAAAUUCUAAGUUUACAAUAGUUCUUAUGUUCAACUCUGUUGAUUAAAGAUAUGUCUUUAACUACUUUGAUUAAAUUUACAUAGUACCAGAACUACAAAUUGUUACAUGGCAAAAACAUAUAGAAUCACAUAAUUGUAACUAUUGACUAGUUUAAGAGUAAUAUGAAAGCUAAACUUUUAUAGGAGUUAUGUUCUCCUUCAAAAUAUCACAUUACAUCAUUGUGGCUUUUUCUUUUAAUCAAAAGUUAAGAUUUUACUUUUAAUCAUCUUUCUGCCUGCAUACAUUGAGGUUGCAAGUUUCUCUGCCUGCAUACAUUGAGGCUGCAAGUUGCUCUGUUUUUCAACUUCAACCUGAUCAUAUCAAGCCAUUCUUGAUUCUUUUUGUAUAAGUGAUUUAGCAGUAGAACUCUUAGCCUUUUUGGCACGUGAUUAAUAUGUUUAGUGUGUUAGUUAUUAGUUAGUUUGCUUGUUAAGAAGUUGUUUUUCUGUUACUUCUUUUCCAAGCAAACUUCAUUCGGUUAGCAAGCUAUAAAUACAAAUGUUUGCUGGUUUUGUAAACACACUUUGAAUAAUCAAUACAAUUCAAUACAUUUUUACAUUCUCUCCUCAUUAUGAAGUCUUUUAUGGUAUCAGAGCUCUCCAAGUGAGAGCUCUGCUGCUAAAUCAUUUACACAUCUCCAUCUUCUUGCCAAUUCUUCACAUCUUGUUCACAAGAAAACUCACAAACAUGGACGCUGAAUCAGAUCAAACACAGCAUACAUACCAGAAUCCAGAUGCAACACAAAAUCCCUAUUACUUACAUCCUCGUGAAUAUCUAGGCUUUACUUUGGUAUCUCCUCCCAUUGAUGGAGGAAAGUACCAAUCAUGGUCAAGAUCAAUGAAAAGGGCACUUAGUUCGAAGAAUAAGUUCAAGUUUGUUAAUAUAACAAUACAAGUUCCUCAUCAAUCAGACCAGAUGUAUGAUGCUUGGGAGAGGUGCAACAACAUGGUGAUAUCUUGGAUCACAAGAUCACUAACACAGCAGAUUGCUCAAAGCAUCGUGUAUAUAUAAAAUGCACAAGAAUUAUGGGAUGACCUUAGGGAACGAUUUUCUAAGGGAGAUCACUUUAGGACAUCCGAUCUACUCCAAGAAAUUCAUUCAAUGAAACAGGGUGAAAGGAACGUAUCUGGAUUUUACACAGAUAUGAAGACAGUUUGGGAGGAACUAGAAUCUCUAAGGCCUCUUCCAACAUGUUCUUGCCCUGUAAGAUGUAGUUGCGGCAUGUCUAAAACUAUAAGAAAUUAUAGAGAAUAUGAAUAUAUCAUAUGUUUUUUGAAAGGCCUUAGUGAACAAUUUGACACUGUGAAGGCUCAGAUUCUUCUCAUGGAGCCUAUGCCAUCCAUCAACAAGGUGUUCUCAUUAGUCUUGCAGCAAGAAAGGCAACAUGAGGGUCUAGGGUAUGACAACAAAAGGAUAAUCAAUUAUGUGAAUUCAACUCAGCCAUGGAAGAAUCAAGCAAACAGAAAUUCUGGUAGAUCAAACACAAACUUCAACAAUAGAAAGAAAUACCAAGGAAGUGGUUGGACAUCUACUUAUCCUAAGCCCUCUGGUGCAAAUAGCAACAAUAAAGUCUGCAGUUUUUGUGGAAAGGAUAGGCACACUGUAGAAACAUGUUACUUCAAGCAUGGGUUCCCUCCAAAUUUCAAGUUCAAGGCUAAGCAAGAAGAUGGAUCAAUGAACAACAUUCAUACUGAUCAUGAAGCAAGAGAUAAGAGGCAAGAAACAAGUCACAUGGACAUAAGCAUAGAGCAAACAGAGCAACCUCUACACAUCAGCAACAACCAUCAGCACAAGAUUAACCAAGUUAGCCAAGAUCACCACAGUAAUGACAAUCCUACUAUGUCAGGUACAAUCCUUAACACUCAAACUUGGAUCCUUGAUAGUGGUGCCACUGAUCAUGUCACUAAUAAUGCAUCAAACUUCACAAGUAUUAACACUAUCAAACCAAUACAUGUGAAACUGCCAAAUAACAUCACUAUGAUUGCUCAAUACUCAGGAACUAUUCACCUAACUCAUGUUCUUUCCCUUUAUGAUGUUCUAUACUUACCUAGUUUUAAAUACAAUUUGAUAUCUAUUUACAAACUUGCUUGCUCCUUAAGAUGCAGGUUUGUUUUUUAUAAGAACCUUUGUUUGAUUCAGGAUAUGACUUCCUCGAAGACGAUUGGUCAUGCUGAAUAGAAAUCAUAAGACUACUUCACAUGUAAUAGGAUCUGUUAAUAAGUACAAUAAUCAUAAAUUUGAUGUUUGGCAUUUUAGAUUGGGCCAUCCCUCUUUGCAUGUUUUACAAAGCAUGAAUAAAAUCUUUCAUUUUGUGAAGUUUGACUCCAAUCUUGUUUGUGAUAUAUGCCACACUACUAAACAAACUAAGCUUUCUUUUCCUAAGAGUACAUCUCAUAGUUCACAACCUUUUGACCUCAUACAUAUGGACAUUUGGGGGGCCCUUAGCCUUCCCACCAUCCAUGGUCAGAAAUACUUCUUGACCAUUGUAGAUGACUUCAGUAGAUAUACAUGGAUUCAUCUUAUGACUAACAAGGGAGAGGCAAGAAAACUGGUCCAUAACUUUUUUCAACUAGCCAAUACUCAAUACAACAAAAGAAUCAAAGCCAUUAGAACUGAUAAUGGCUUGGAAUUCAUACAACCUGAGUUUUAUGCUAGUCUUGUUGUCAUACACCAAAGAUCUUGUGUUGAAACACCUCAACAGAACUAAGUGGUCGAGAGAAAACACAAACAUAUUAUGAACGUUGCUAGAUCUCUGCUCUUUCAAUUCAAUAUACCAAAAGAAAAUUGGGGUCAUGCUGUCAUUCAUUUUGUUUUCUUGAUCAACAGGUUACCCACUCCUGUUCUCAAUUUUAAGUGUCCUUAUGAGGCCCUAUUACAUAAAAAACCUAAUCUCAGUAAUCUUAGAGUGUUUGGUUGCCUUGCCUAUGCCUCUACCCUCACCAACAAUAGGACUAAACUUGAUCCAAGAGCCACCAAGUGCUUAUUCCUUGGAUACACUGAUGGGACCAAAGGUUUCCUCUUAUAUGAUAUGCAUCUGAAGAACAUUUUCUUGUCUCGAAAUGUAAUGUUCCAUGAGCAUGUCUUUCCAUGCCAUGAUACACAAUGCAUACACAAGCACACUUUUGACACUACUGAAAUUGUGGAAUCCUCCCCAUCCCCUGCCUCACAACCUCUCCUUGACUAUCCAUUCAUCAAUGAGACCACCAACACUGCACCUUCCCAUACUGACCAUAAUUCCCUACACAACUCACCUAUGCCACCAUCCUCACCCAUCCAUACUGAGAUCACACCAAGAAGAUCCCUUAGACCUUCACAUCCUUCUAGAUACCUUCAGGACUAUCACUGCAAUUAUUUAGCUUCUGUGCCCAUCACACAAAAUUCUACCAUCAAGCACCCCCUUAACAAUGUCCUAUGCUACAAGCACUUAUCCACUACACAACUCCAUCACAUACUAUCCAUCACCUCUCACAUUGAGCCUAUGACAUACAAUAGAUACAUCAAGUCUACUGAUUGGAUUAAGGCUAUAAACACUAAGUUACAAGCCCUGCAUCUAAAUAACACUUGAACCCUUGUCACUCUUCCACCCAACAAAACUGCCAUUGGGUGCAAAUGGGUUUAUAAACUCAAAUACAAUGAUGAUGGCAGCAUUGAAAGACACAAGGCACGCCUUGUUGGAAAAGGGUAUAAUCAAAUAGAGGGAUUGGAUUAUAAUGAGACUUUUGCCCCUGUAAUCAAGCUUACUACCAUCAGAUUACUCCUGGCUCUUGCUGCCAUGAAAGGAUGGACAUUGCAUCAACUUGAUGUCAAUAAUGCCUUACUCCAUGGAGACCUUAAUGAGGUUGUUUACAUGACCUUACCCACUGGUGUUCACAACUCUAAACCCAACCAAGUCUGCCAAUUAAACAAAUCACUAUACGGCUUGAAACAAGCUAGUAGGCAGUGGUUUGCCAAGCUAUCCAACUCUCUUCAUUACUUAGGUUACAAGCAAUCCCAACAUGAUCAUUCCCUCUUUACUAAAACACAUGAUACCCAUUUCACUGCCCUGUUAAUCUAUGUUGAUGAUCUAAUCUUAGCAGGGGAUGAUUUGACUGAAAUACAAUCUGUAAAGACCCAUCUUGACACUCAGUUUAAAAUCAAGGACUUAGCCACAUUAAAAUACUUCCUAGGCCUUGAGGUAGCCCGGUCCAAAUUAGGAAUAACCUUGUGCUAGAGAAAAUAUGCCUUAGAUCUUCUCAAUGACACUGGUUUCCUCACUUCUAAACUAGUUCCCACACCUAUGGUUAAAAACACCCAUCUACAUCAGCAAGACAGUGAUCCAUUCCAUGAUCCCCUCUUGUACAGACAACUAAUUGGCAGAUUGCUUUACCUAACAAACACACGACCUGAUUUAAACUUUGCCAUACAACAACUCACCCACUUCAUGGCUGCUUCUACUGUUAACCACUAUAAAGCCAUGACUCAAAUACUUAGAUACAUCAAAGGCACCCCUGGACAAGGAUUGUUCUACCCUACCACCUCUGUUUUGCAAAUAAAAGGAUUUUCUUAUUCUGAUUGGGCCUCUUGCCCUGAUACCAGAAAAUCUAUUUCAGGGUACUCCAUGUUCUUAGGAGAUGCCCUUGUUUCUUAGAAAUCCAAGAAACAAAACACCGUUUCUAGAUCAUCCUCAGAAGUUGAGUAUCGUGCCCUUGCUAUUGCUUCUUGUGAGAUUCAAUGGCUAACUUACUUGCUCACUGAUUUCCAUAUUGAUUACAAACACCCUGCUCUCUUAUAUUGUGAUAAUAAUUCGACUAGAUAUAUUGCUGCUAAUGCUGUUUUCCAUGAGCGUACUAAUCAUAUAGAAAUAGAUUGCCAUGUUGUUAGGGAAAGGUUACAAAACAAACUCUUCCACCUCCUGCCUAUUUCCACUUCAAAGCAGGUUGCUGAUCUCUUAACAAAACCAUUAGAACCUGCACCUUUUUCUUAUUUGUUGGGCAAGCUGGGUAUACUUAACAUAUAUUCUCCAGCUUGAAGGGGGGUAUUAACCUCACCCCUCUCUAUGAUUGUAUUAUUACUACUCUAAUUGUUUCUGCUUAAGCUUUCUGAUUCUUCUAUUAUGUUUACAUAUUAUGUUUACAUGUCUCAUUGCAUUUUAUAUCUUAGCCUAUGCCUUUAGUGCAUGAGGAAGCCUUAUAAUAUUGCAGGCUCUAGCUCGCGAUGAAGAUAGGGAGACUAGGAUCAUUGCACACAAGAAUACAACACAUAAAUUUGCCUGCUGCCUCCAUACAUUGAGGCUGCAAGUUGCUCUGCCUGCAUACAUUGAGGCUGCAAGUUGCUCUAUUUUUCAACUUCAACCUGAUCAUAUCAAGCCAUUCUUGAUUCAUUUUGUAUAAGUGGUUUAGCAACAGAACUCUUAGCCUUUUUGGCACGUGAUUAAUAUGUUUAGUGUGUUAGUUAUUAGUUAGUUUGCUUGUCAAGAAGUUGUUUUUCUGUUACUUCUUUUCCAAGCAAACUUCAUUCGGUUAGCAAGCUAUAAAUAUAAAUGCUUGUUGGUUUUGUAAACACACUUUGAAUAAUCAAUACAAUUCAAUACAUUUUUACAUUCUCUUCUCAUUAUGAAGUCUUUUAUGGUAUCAGAGCUCUCCAAGUGAGAGCUCUGCUGCUAAAUCAUUUACACAUCUCCAUCUUCUUGCCAAUUCUUCACAUCUUGUUCACAAGAAAACUCACAAACAUGGACGCUGAAUCAGAUCAAACACAUCAUACAUACCAAAAUCCAUAUGCAACACAAAAUCCCUAUUACUUACAUCCUGGUGAAAAUCCAGGCAUUACUUUGGUAUCUCCUCCCCUUGAUGGAGGAAACUACCAAUCAUGGUCAAGAUCAAUGAAAAGGGCACUCAGUUCGAAGAAUAAGUUCAAGUUUUUUAAUGGAACAAUACAAGUUCCUCAUCAAUCAGACCAGAUGUAUGAUUCUUGGGAGAGGUGCAACAACAUGGUGAUAUCUUGGAUCACAAGAUCACUAACACAGCAGAUUGCUCAAAGCAUCGUGUAUAUAGAAAAUGCACAAGAAUUAUGGGAUGAUCAGAAUUAGUACUCGUUUUAUAGAUCGUGUAUAUAGAAAAUGCACAAGAAAAUGCACUAAUGAUCAGAAUAAGUGUAAAGAGUAAUAAUCAGGCGCUUCAGUUGCAAUCACAGAAUUGAUGCUUCAGCUACAACCAGCAAUUAGGAGAGGUAAACCAGAAAGUCUUUCAGUUAAAACAAUAAUCAGUAUAAAUGAAUGAUCUUAAUGGGGUAGUUGAGAUGAUGGAAUGAUUAAAGUCAGAAAACGUUUCUGACUCUAAUGAGCAACCUAAAAGUUUUUCACAUCGGGACACAACCAGUAUAAAAUGACAUGAAUCAGAAUAUGCAAAGGAAAGAGAUUACAUAUACAUUACAACACAGAAAAAUAAGAGAAACAGACUACAACACAAAGAGAGAGGGAGAACAUACUAAUAGGGGGAUAUACACAUACGCAUACACAACCAUAAGAAAAAUCAAAGAGGAAACAUAAACACAUAGGAUACGCAAUCAAAGAACGCACAUACUUUGCAAUAGAGAACAUAUAAUCCAAAGGCAUACACAGGGAGAAAAAUCAGUGAGCACAUUAAGUUCACACUUCAUAACAAUUAGAGACGCACCUACACAUAUAUUGUGAAAUCAGAACAUCAUAGACCACAUAUCACUAUACACAAGAAUAUCACACGCAACAGGACACGAUACAAAGAAAUCAGAGAUAUCAUAUCUACCCAGAAAAGAGUAUCGACAGUAAAGAUCAAGAAGGAAACUGAGAAUGGAUUCUUGAGACAAAAAUCAAGGAUCAACUAGAAACAAGAAGUCGACAUCUAAAGGGUAAAUCUCAGGUAAGCUACUCAUCCUAUAAAUAUUUACAAACAGAAUGCAUUUUAUUCACUAAAUGUUCUGAAUACCAAAGAAGAUAGGUAUCAUAUAGUCAUAACUAUAACAUAGAUCAAGAAACAAUAGCGCACAUGGUUUAGAAAUUUGAGUUCAACUCCCCAUGUAAUUACAACAUAAGAAAUGGAAAAGAUAAUUAAAAAAAUUCAAUAGAAUAAAGAAAGGGGUGAUAACCGUGCUCACCCUUGCAUCGGCAAAUUUGGUGGAAUGUUGUUGCCUCCUUUAUUCACGGUUACCGUCGGUCAAGUGGGGGAGAAUAGAAACCCGAACCACCGCCUUGCGGUGACAUUACCGUCGCUCCGCGAGUGAGUAGGAGAAGGAGAUGAUUUAGGGAUUCCAUUCCCUUUUGGCCUCCUUCACGUGACUUAGGGAUUUUUUCCCUCUUUCAACCUCAUUCACGUUUGGUCUGAGUGUUUAAAGUAAUCCUUUUUUUG